AUUGAACGCUGGCGGCAGGCUUAACACAUGCAAGUCGAGCGGGGAAGGGUAGCUUGCUACCUGACCUAGCGGCGGACGGGUGAGUAAUGCUUAGGAAUCUGCCUAUUAGUGGGGGACAACAUUCCGAAAGGAAUGCUAAUACCGCAUACGCCCUACGGGGGAAAGCAGGGGAUCUUCGGACCUUGCGCUAAUAGAUGAGCCUAAGUCAGAUUAGCUAGUUGGUGGGGUAAAGGCCUACCAAGGCGACGAUCUGUAGCGGGUCUGAGAGGAUGAUCCGCCACACUGGGACUGAGACACGGCCCAGACUCCUACGGGAGGCAGCAGUGGGGAAUAUUGGACAAUGGGCGAAAGCCUGAUCCAGCCAUGCCGCGUGUGUGAAGAAGGCCUUUUGGUUGUAAAGCACUUUAAGCGAGGAGGAGGCUACCGAGAUUAAUACUCUUGGAUAGUGGACGUUACUCGCAGAAUAAGCACCGGCUAACUCUGUGCCAGCAGCCGCCGUAA
RNAcentral lists this ribosomal RNA (501 nucleotides) under uncultured bacterium. RNAcentral describes it as "partial 16S ribosomal RNA". It matches the Rfam family "Bacterial small subunit ribosomal RNA", at positions 30 to 523 of the family's 1533-position model. The record is from RNAcentral.